Molecule: non-coding RNA, 657 nt
Organism: Coturnix japonica (Japanese quail)
Lineage: Eukaryota; Metazoa; Chordata; Aves; Galliformes; Phasianidae
Source: RefSeq, a predicted model, not a curated record
AGGAGGAGGAGGAGGGGAAGACACACCGGCAACGGCUCCACGCCCCCGGGGGAGGUCCGUUGUUGGGGGGGGAGGGAUGGAAGCAGAGUGGAGCUGCCGCCUGGUGAGCGUUAUCCGCACUGCAGCGCUAACAAAGGCGGUGCCGAUAAGCAAAGCUGGUGUAUAUUUUCGUAACAAACCCAGAAGGAAUAUAUUUUUAGCUGCCUCCCUAUAUGGAACUGAGAUGGAUGGGGCAAAACAACACAGGAUGCCUCCCCCUGCUAUGUAGGAUUAUUAAAUCCAACAAUGGCAAAGGCUGCGGCCUUUCAUUCUGGGACUGACUCACCUUGUGAUGUAAGAGGGACAAGCUCAACAUCACCAGGGCAACCACUGGGCUUCUCAAAGAGGACUGAUGUCAUAAAGCCAAAUGCUGGGGGGACGGCGUGGAAUCUCUCAAAGAAGUGGGAGAAACUACAACACAGUCACAGGACUAGCUGGAGCGAUACAGGUGACUGUUGCCCAACAGCAUCCCACACAUCUCAGCUCCAAAAGCCGUGUUUGGGACCAACACCACUGCUUGGGUUGAGCUGUUCCUUGGGUCAGCCUCCCUAAAGGUUCACUUCUCCAUUUGACUACUCUAUUGACCAUGAGUUGUUCCCAUUAAAAUAUUAUGGAAAA